This 68-nucleotide transfer RNA is filed under the name Bhutanitis mansfieldi. RNAcentral describes it as "tRNA-Met". Lineage: Eukaryota; Metazoa; Arthropoda; Insecta; Lepidoptera; Papilionidae. The record is from RNAcentral.
UUAAAAAUAAGCUAAUUAAAGCUUUUGGGCUCAUAACCCAAAUAUAGAGGAAACCCCUUUUUUUUAAA